GACGAACGCUGGCGGCGUGCUUAACACAUGCAAGUCGAGCGGUAAGGCCCUUUCGGGGGUACACGAGCGGCGAACGGGUGAGUAACACGUGGGUGACCUGCCCUCAGCUCUGGGAUAAGCCUGGGAAACCGGGUCUAAUACCGGAUAUGACUCCAUGACGCAUGUUGUGGGGUGGAAAGCCUUGUGCGGCUGAGGAUGGGCCCGCGGCCUAUCAGCUUGUUGGUGGGGUGAUGGCCUACCAAGGCGGCGACGGGUAGCCGGCCUGAGAGGGCGACCGGCCACACUGGGACUGAGACACGGCCCAGACUCCUACGGGAGGCAGCAGUGGGGAAUCUUGCGCAAUGGGCGAAAGCCUGACGCAGCGACGCCGCGUGAGGGAUGACGGCCU
This 388-nucleotide ribosomal RNA is filed under the name uncultured bacterium. RNAcentral describes it as "bacterial SSU rRNA". It matches the Rfam family "Bacterial small subunit ribosomal RNA", at positions 28 to 417 of the family's 1533-position model. The record is from RNAcentral.